Molecule: ribosomal RNA, 292 nt
Filed under: uncultured bacterium
Lineage: Bacteria
Description: partial 16S ribosomal RNA
Rfam family: Bacterial small subunit ribosomal RNA
Source: RNAcentral
GUGUCAGCAGCCGCGGUAAUACGUAGGGUGCAAGCGUUAAUCGGAAUUACUGGGCGUAAAGCGUGCGCAGGCGGUGAUGUAAGACAGUUGUGAAAUCCCCGGGCUCAACCUGGGAACUGCAUCUGUGACUGCAUCGCUGGAGUGCGGCAGAGGGGGAUGGAAUUCCGCGUGUAGCAGUGAAAUGCGUAGAUAUGCGGAGGAACACCGAUGGCGAAGGCAAUCCCCUGGGCCUGCACUGACGCUCAUGCACGAAAGCGUGGGGAGCAAACAGGAUUAGAAACCCCCGUAGUCC